ACCUUUGACAUGGCAGGAAUCCUUUAGAGAUAGAGGAGUGCUCGAAAGAGAACCUGCACACAGGUGCUGCAUGGCUGUCGUCAGCUCGUGUCGUGAGAUGUUGGGUUAAGUCCCGCAACGAGCGCAACCCUUGCCAUUAGUUGCUACGAAAGGGCACUCUAAUGGGACUGCCGGUGACAAACCGGAGGAAGGUGGGGAUGACGUCAAGUCCUCAUGGCCCUUAUAGGUGGGGCUACACACGUCAUACAAUGGCUGGUACAAAGGGUUGCCAACCCGCGAGGGGGAGCUAAUCCCAUAAAGCCAGUCGUAGUCCGGAUCGCAGUCUGCAACUCGACUGCGUGAAGUCGGAAUCGCUAGUAAUCGUGGAUCAGAAUGUCACGGUGAAUACGUUCCCGGGUCUUGUACACACCGCCCGUCACACCAUGGGAGCGGGUCUCGCCAGAAGUAGGUAGCCUAACCGCAAGGAGGGCGCUUACCACGGCGGGGUUCGUGACUGGGGUGAAGUCGUAACAAGGUAAGCGUAGUGCU
RNAcentral lists this ribosomal RNA (528 nucleotides) under uncultured bacterium. Its description in RNAcentral is "bacterial SSU rRNA". It matches the Rfam family "Bacterial small subunit ribosomal RNA", at positions 977 to 1509 of the family's 1533-position model. The record is from RNAcentral.